UUAAAUUGAAGAGUUUGAUCAUGGCUCAGAUUGAACGCUGGCGGCAGGCCUAACACAUGCAAGUCGAACGGUAACAGGAAGCAGCUUGCUGCUUUGCUGACGAGUGGCGGACGGGUGAGUAAUGUCUGGGAAACUGCCUGAUGGAGGGGGAUAACUACUGGAAACGGUGGCUAAUACCGCAUAAUGUCGCAAGACCAAAGAGGGGGACCUUCGGGCCUCUUGCCAUCAGAUGUGCCCAGAUGGGAUUAGCUUGUUGGUGAGGUAACGGCUCACCAAGGCGACGAUCCCUAGCUGGUCUGAGAGGAUGACCAGCCACACUGGAACUGAGACACGGUCCAGACUCCUACGGGAGGCAGCAGUGGGGAAUAUUGCACAAUGGGCGCAAGCCUGAUGCAGCCAUGCCGCGUGUAUGAAGAAGGCCUUCGGGUUGUAAAGUACUUUCAGCGGGGAGGAAGGUGUUGUGGUUAAUAACCGCAGCAAUUGACGUUACCCGCAGAAGAAGCACCGGCUAACUCCGUGCCAGCAGCCGCGGUAAUACGGAGGGUGCAAGCGUUAAUCGGAAUUACUGGGCGUAAAGCGCACGCAGGCGGUCUGUCAAGUCGGAUGUGAAAUCCCCGGGCUCAACCUGGGAACUGCAUUCGAAACUGGCAGGCUUGAGUCUUGUAGAGGGGGGUAGAAUUCCAGGUGUAGCGGUGAAAUGCGUAGAGAUCUGGAGGAAUACCGGUGGCGAAGGCGGCCCCCUGGACAAAGACUGACGCUCAGGUGCGAAAGCGUGGGGAGCAAACAGGAUUAGAUACCCUGGUAGUCCACGCCGUAAACGAUGUCUACUUGGAGGUUGUGCCCUUGAGGCGUGGCUUCCGGAGCUAACGCGUUAAGUAGACCGCCUGGGGAGUACGGCCGCAAGGUUAAAACUCAAAUGAAUUGACGGGGGCCCGCACAAGCGGUGGAGCAUGUGGUUUAAUUCGAUGCAACGCGAAGAACCUUACCUGGUCUUGACAUCCACAGAACUUUCCAGAGAUGGAUUGGUGCCUUCGGGAACUGUGAGACAGGUGCUGCAUGGCUGUCGUCAGCUCGUGUUGUGAAAUGUUGGGUUAAGUCCCGCAACGAGCGCAACCCUUAUCCUUUGUUGCCAGCGAUUAGGUCGGGAACUCAAAGGAGACUGCCAGUGAUAAACUGGAGGAAGGUGGGGAUGACGUCAAGUCAUCAUGGCCCUUACGACCAGGGCUACACACGUGCUACAAUGGCGCAUACAAAGAGAAGCGACCUCGCGAGAGCAAGCGGACCUCAUAAAGUGCGUCGUAGUCCGGAUUGGAGUCUGCAACUCGACUCCAUGAAGUCGGAAUCGCUAGUAAUCGUGGAUCAGAAUGCCACGGUGAAUACGUUCCCGGGCCUUGUACACACCGCCCGUCACACCAUGGGAGUGGGUUGCAAAAGAAGUAGGUAGCUUAACCUUCGGGAGGGCGCUUACCACUUUGUGAUUCAUGACUGGGGUGAAGUCGUAACAAGGUAACCGUAGGGGAACCUGCGGUUGGAUCACCUCCUUACCUGAAAGAAGC
Molecule: ribosomal RNA, 1556 nt
Filed under: Salmonella enterica subsp. enterica serovar Johannesburg str. ST203
Lineage: Bacteria; Pseudomonadati; Pseudomonadota; Gammaproteobacteria; Enterobacterales; Enterobacteriaceae
Description: bacterial SSU rRNA
Rfam family: Bacterial small subunit ribosomal RNA
Source: RNAcentral